GGGCGCGUGCUUACCAUGCAAGUCGAACGAUGAAGCCCUUUCGGGGGUGGAUUAGUGGCGAACGGGUGAGUAACACGUGAGCAACCUGCCCUUGACUCUGGGAUAAGCCUGGGAAACUGGGUCUAAUACCGGAUAGUACUCCUCAUCGCAUGGUGGGGGGUGGAAAGCCUUGUGCGGUCUUGGAUGGGCUCGCGGCCUAUCAGCUUGUUGGUGGGGUGAUGGCCUACCAAGGCGACGACGGGUAGCCGGCCUGAGAGGGUGACCGGCCACACUGGGACUGAGACACGGCCCAGACUCCUACGGGAGGCAGCAGUGGGGAAUAUUGCACAAUGGGCGGAAGCCUGAUGCUGCGACGCCGCGUGGGGGAUGACGGCCUUCUGGUUGUAAACCCCUUUCAUUANGGAAGAAGCGCAUUUGACUUUUCCUGUU
This 429-nucleotide ribosomal RNA is filed under the name Sinomonas sp. HPCKc-42. RNAcentral's name for it is "bacterial SSU rRNA". It matches the Rfam family "Bacterial small subunit ribosomal RNA", at positions 38 to 483 of the family's 1533-position model. The record is from RNAcentral. Lineage: Bacteria; Bacillati; Actinomycetota; Actinomycetes; Micrococcales; Micrococcaceae.